Molecule: transfer RNA, 67 nt
Filed under: marine eukaryotic metagenome
Rfam family: tRNA
About the family: Transfer RNA (tRNA) molecules are approximately 80 nucleotides in length. Their secondary structure includes four short double-helical elements and three loops (D, anti-codon, and T loops).
Source: RNAcentral
ACGGUAGCUCAGUCGGUAGAGCAGAGGACUGAAAAUCCUCGUGUCGGUGGUUCGAUUCCGCCCCGUG